RNAcentral lists this transfer RNA (76 nucleotides) under Flavobacteriaceae bacterium. Its description in RNAcentral is "tRNA-Lys". It matches the Rfam family "tRNA". From Rfam's summary of the family: Transfer RNA (tRNA) molecules are approximately 80 nucleotides in length. Their secondary structure includes four short double-helical elements and three loops (D, anti-codon, and T loops). Lineage: Bacteria; Pseudomonadati; Bacteroidota; Flavobacteriia; Flavobacteriales; Flavobacteriaceae. The record is from RNAcentral. RNAcentral also lists the same sequence under 1 other name.
GACCUGGUAGCUCAGCUGGUAGAGCAUCUCCCUUUUAAGGAGAGGGUCCUGGGUUCGAGCCCCAGCCAGGUCACUA